Molecule: ribosomal RNA, 253 nt
Filed under: uncultured bacterium
Lineage: Bacteria
Description: partial 16S ribosomal RNA
Rfam family: Bacterial small subunit ribosomal RNA
Source: RNAcentral
UACGUAGGGGGCGAGCGUUAAUCGGAAUUACUGGGCGUAAAGCGUGCGCAGGCGGUUUUGUAAGACAGGCGUGAAAUCCCCGGGCUCAACCUGGGAAUGGCGCUUGUGACUGCAAGGCUGGAGUGCGGUAGAGGGGGAUGGAAUUCCGCGUGUAGCAGUGAAAUGCGUAGAUAUGCGGAGGAACACCGAUGGCGAAGGCAAUUCCCUGGGCCUGCACUGACGCUCAUGCACGAAAGCGUGGGGAGCAAACAGG